Molecule: ribosomal RNA, 410 nt
Filed under: uncultured bacterium
Lineage: Bacteria
Description: bacterial SSU rRNA
Rfam family: Bacterial small subunit ribosomal RNA
Source: RNAcentral
UAUUGGUCAAUGGCCGCAGGGCUGAACCAGCCAAGUCGCGUGAGGGAUGACGGUCCUAUGGAUUGUAAACCUCUUUUGUUAGGGAGCAAAGGGCGCCACGUGUGGCGCUUUGCGAGUACCUGAAGAAAAAGCAUCGGCUAACUCCGUGCCAGCAGCCGCGGUAAUACGGAGGAUGCGAGCGUUAUCCGGAUUUAUUGGGUUUAAAGGGUGCGCAGGCGGAGGCACAAGUCAGCGGUAAAAUCGCGGGGCUCAACCCCGCUCCGCCGUUGAAACUGUGUCCCUUGAGUGCGCGAAGGGUAGGCGGAAUGCGUGGUGUAGCGGUGAAAUGCAUAGAUAUCACGCAGAACUCCGAUCGCGAAGGCAGCCUACCGGCGCGCAACUGACGCUCAUGCACGAAAGCGUAGGUAUCG